RNAcentral lists this ribosomal RNA (264 nucleotides) under uncultured bacterium. Its description in RNAcentral is "partial 16S ribosomal RNA". It matches the Rfam family "Bacterial small subunit ribosomal RNA", at positions 793 to 1055 of the family's 1533-position model. The record is from RNAcentral.
GUCCACGCCGUAAACGAUGGGUACUAGGUGUUGGGGUAUUGACCCCUCCAGUGCCGCAGUUAACGCACUAAGUACCCCGCCUGGGAAGUACGGCCGCAAGGCUAAAACUCAAAGGAAUUGACGGGGGCCCGCACAAGCGGUGGAGCAUGUGGUUUAAUUCGACGCAACGCGAAGAACCUUACCUGGGCUUGACAUCCCGGGAACCCCCUGGAAACAGGGGGUGCCCGCAAGGGAACCCGGAGACAGGUGCUGCAUGGCUGUCGU